Erigeron canadensis is the source of this 270-nucleotide long non-coding RNA. RefSeq lists it as uncharacterized. NCBI's taxonomy places the organism in Eukaryota, Viridiplantae, Streptophyta, Magnoliopsida, Asterales, Asteraceae. The transcript is spliced from 3 exons. The record is from RefSeq and is a predicted model, not a curated record.
AACUCUACAAGUGCUCCAUUCGAUCCUAUAUGCAUCAAAGGUGUAUGCGUUUGCUAAGGACAGAUCUGGUCCGCUCAGACCAGGUGUUGAGACAAUAGAGAGAACUCUUAAGACCAUUGUCGGCCCCACAUAUGACAUGUUCCAUGACACCCCUGUUGAGCUGAAGUUUGUUGAUCGUCAGCAACGACUUUCCUAUAAUGAAGAUUCAAGUUUUUGAAAUAGCUGAUAAUAUGAAAAGGACUAUGAAAACAGGAGCUUCGUGAAACCAAG